Molecule: ribosomal RNA, 315 nt
Filed under: uncultured eukaryote
Lineage: Eukaryota
Description: partial 18S ribosomal RNA
Rfam family: Eukaryotic small subunit ribosomal RNA
Source: RNAcentral
CCCUUAGACGUUCUGGGCCGCACGCGCGCUACACUGACCAGUGCAACAAGCAUCCGUCCUUGGCCGACAGGCCCGGGCAAUCUUUGAACGCUGGUCGUGAUGGGGAUAGACUUUUGCAAUUUUUGGUCUUCAACGAGGAAUUCCUAGUAAACGCAAGUCAUCAACUUGCAUUGAUUACGUCCCUGCCCUUUGUACACACCGCCCGUCGCACCUACCGAUUGAAUGGUCCGGUGAAGCCUCCGGAUUGGCGAGCACCUCGGUGCCGCCGAGAAGUUGGCUAAACCUUACCAUUUAGAGGAAGGUGAAGUCGUAACA